This 742-nucleotide ribosomal RNA is filed under the name uncultured bacterium. RNAcentral describes it as "bacterial SSU rRNA". It matches the Rfam family "Bacterial small subunit ribosomal RNA", at positions 8 to 796 of the family's 1533-position model. The record is from RNAcentral.
AGAGUUUGAUCAUGGCUCAGAACGAACGCUGGCGGCAGGCUUAACACAUGCAAGUCGAACGCACCUUUACGGGUGAGUGGCAGACGGGUGAGUAACGCGUGGGAACGUGCCCUUCAGUUCGGAAUAACCCAGGGAAACUUGGGCUAAUACCGGAUACGUGCGAGAGCAGAAAGAUUUAUCGCUGAAGGAUCGGCCCGCGUCUGAUUAGCUAGUUGGUGAGGUAAUGGCUCACCAAGGCGACGAUCAGUAGCUGGUCUGAGAGGAUGAUCAGCCACAUUGGGACUGAGACACGGCCCAAACUCCUACGGGAGGCAGCAGUGGGGAAUAUUGGACAAUGGGCGCAAGCCUGAUCCAGCCAUGCCGCGUGAGUGAUGAAGGCCUUAGGGUUGUAAAGCUCUUUCGUCCGGGACGAUAAUGACGGUACCGGAAGAAGAAGCCCCGGCUAACUUCGUGCCAGCAGCCGCGGUAAUACGAAGGGGGCUAGCGUUGUUCGGAAUCACUGGGCGUAAAGGGCGCGUAGGCGGCUUGAUAAGUCGGGGGUAAAAGCCUGUGGCUCAACCACAGAAUUGCCUUCGAUACUGUCUGGCUUGAGACCGGAAGAGGUAAGUGGAACUGCGAGUGUAGAGGUGAAAUUCGUAGAUAUUCGCAAGAACACCAGUGGCGAAGGCGGCUUACUGGUCCGGUUCUGACGCUGAGGCGCGAAAGCGUGGGGAGCAAACAGGAUUAGAUACCCUAGUAGUCC